This is a non-coding RNA of Desmophyllum pertusum, 74 nucleotides long. Lineage: Eukaryota; Metazoa; Cnidaria; Anthozoa; Scleractinia; Caryophylliidae. The record is from the annotation of a GenBank genome assembly.
GGCUUCAUAGCUCAGGUUGGUAGAGCAGCGCACCGGUAAUGCGGAGGACAUGGCUUCAAAUCCCGUCGAAGCUC